RNAcentral lists this ribosomal RNA (253 nucleotides) under uncultured bacterium. Its description in RNAcentral is "partial 16S ribosomal RNA". It matches the Rfam family "Bacterial small subunit ribosomal RNA", at positions 524 to 776 of the family's 1533-position model. The record is from RNAcentral.
UACGAAGGGGGCUAGCGUUGUUCGGAAUUACUGGGCGUAAAGAGCUCGUAGGCGGUUUGUCGCGUCUGCCGUGAAAGUCCGGGGCUCAACUCCGGAUCUGCGGUGGGUACGGGCAGACUAGAGUGAUGUAGGGGAGACUGGAAUUCCUGGUGUAGCGGUGAAAUGCGCAGAUAUCAGGAGGAACACCGAUGGCGAAGGCACUUUACUGGGCUAUUACUAACACUCAGAGACGAAAGCUAGGGUAGCAAAUGGG